Molecule: ribosomal RNA, 496 nt
Filed under: uncultured bacterium
Lineage: Bacteria
Description: partial 16S ribosomal RNA
Rfam family: Bacterial small subunit ribosomal RNA
Source: RNAcentral
AUGAACGCUGGCGGCGUGCCUAAUACAUGCAAGUAGAACGCUGAAGCUUGGUGCUUGCACCGAGCGGAUGAGUUGCGAACGGGUGAGUAACGCGUAGGUAACCUGCCUCUUAGCGGGGGAUAACUAUUGGAAACGAUAGCUAAUACCGCAUAAAAGUCGAUAUCGCAUGAUAUUGAUUUGAAAGGUGCAAAUGCAUCACUAAGAGGUGGACCUGCGUUGUAUUAGCUAGUUGGUGAGGUAACGGCUCACCAAGGCGACGAUACAUAGCCGACCUGAGAGGGUGAUCGGCCACACUGGGACUGAGACACGGCCCAGACUCCUACGGGAGGCAGCAGUAGGGAAUCUUCGGCAAUGGGGGCAACCCUGACCGAGCAACGCCGCGUGAGUGAAGAAGGUUUUCGGAUCGUAAAGCUCUGUUGUAAGAGAAGAACGAGUGUGAGAGUGGAAAGUUCACACUGUGACGGUAACUUACCAGAAAGGGACGGCUAACUACGUG